CUACGCCCAAGGCCACCUCUGAACCGGAGCCAGAGAGAGGCACGCUGCAUCAAACUGCCCAGCGAGGCUCAAGAAUAUUCCAGUAGGCCCACACGGGAAUAAAACUACACAUCAGCAAGAUCAAAAAGCUUUUCUGUGCUCCUAGUUCAACUUACAAAGUACAACCGUUUCUUGCUCCUGUCACCAGGAAGGCCUCGUGUGCGUUCGUGGAGAAAAGCACGCAUGUCUCCCUAAACUCCCCUCUCUGCACUGGCCACUGGCGGGGAUAGUCUCAGAACGGAAACCGAGCACCGACCCACCCUCCGGCCAGGGACACAGAGGAGCGCCACGUCCGGGCCCACCUCUCCACCCCCAGACCUCCUCGGGGUGGCAGAAACCGACACAACAGCCCAGAGGACAGGGGGGCGCUGCCGGGCCCGCAGGGCCGCCUCCACUUCCGGGCCGUGGCAACGAGGCUGGCCAGCAACCGGCAAAGUCACCGGCGGAGCGUCCCAAGCGCCAGGGCUGAAAGACGGCUGGCGGGUCCGCCACGAGAGGAGUGCGUUCUGAUCGCGGACACGGCCCAGAAGCAGGCACUGGACCUCCCAGGGCUCUGACCAGCGCGCAGAAAAGCAGGGCCACCACAAGGGUCCGUCCCGAGCAAUGCGCAUUCUCCCUAGGAACCCAGCAAAACAGCACAGUCUGCAAAAAUGCACGUGUCACUCUCAAACAAGGUCUCCAGGGAGCCUGGCCCCUCCUGUCUGAGGUGGGGCGGGCAGGGGACAAGAAGCCUGAGGGGCUCUGGGCCAGCACUGCCUGCAGCCCUGACAGAGGUGGCGGUGGGGGCGACACCAGGCCCACGUGGACCCUGGCUCACAGGGACCCCGGAGAGGGCAGGACGGUGUGCGUGAGAGAGGCCUGAGGCGGGAGACCUGAGAAGAAUUCGGACCACACCAGCUUUUCCCUCUGAGAAAUGGGUCGACCCAGGCUCUGCUACCUCCGAGGUGCCGACGCAGGGAGAACACGGCCCACCCUACAACAGGGACCGGCCCGUAAAACAGAACGCCUCCCAGAUUUCCGAAACCGGUCACUAGGCCCAAAGACCCCCAAUGCCCCCUUCCUGACCGUCCAGGGACGGACUCCAGGCCCCCGGCACCAGCAGGAGAGGGGGGCUGGGAGCAGGCCCGCCCAGGACGGCGGGCCUGGCGGAUGGCGGCAGCCUGGGCUCAAGGCACCAAGGUACUCGCCAAGGCUGCCAGGCCAGUGUCCGGUGACAUCCCUGCACCGGGGGGGGGCCUGGCCUGCCACCUGA
Molecule: long non-coding RNA, 1291 nt
Organism: Felis catus (domestic cat)
Lineage: Eukaryota; Metazoa; Chordata; Mammalia; Carnivora; Felidae
Exons: 2
Source: RefSeq, a predicted model, not a curated record